RNAcentral lists this long non-coding RNA (483 nucleotides) under Lathyrus oleraceus (garden pea). Its description in RNAcentral is "Pisum sativum (pea) long non-coding RNA (PSAT_LNC028529)". Lineage: Eukaryota; Viridiplantae; Streptophyta; Magnoliopsida; Fabales; Fabaceae. The record is from RNAcentral.
UGUUCGUCGCCGAUAAGGAAAGGUGAUUUAUGCGAGAGACAAACCUCAGAUGCUGAUGUUGUUCUGGAACAUCACUACGUUUGAUCAACUGAAGAGGGAGCUGAUUCGUUGGUUAGAUGGGAAAAUACCAGAAGGGGAAAAAAUUAGAAGUAUUGAGAGACUUGACAAUAUCUUUGGUUGGGUGCGAAUGAAGACUGAUAAGGAUGCUAGGGAAAUGAUGUUCGGUCGAGACGACAUCAAUUUAAUUGUUAUAAUCAGUUAGAAAUAUUUCUGUUUUCAGAUAGCUUAUUUUGUACUGAUGUUUGUUGUGAACCUCGUUGUAACAAAAACUUAAUGAUAUAUAAUGAUUGAAGGUUACAGAAAUACAAUGUAAGAAAUAUUUCUGUUUUCAGAUAGCUUAUUUUGUACUGAUGUUUGUUGUGAACCUCGUUGUAACAAAAACUUAAUGAUAUAUAAUGAUUGAAGGUUACAGAAAUACAAUGU